CAUCGUCUCCUUCCCAGCGUCAAUGUACAAGAGCAGAGUAGGUGGUGCAAUCUACAGAGUGCGGGAAGCAGGCAACUGAUCAACUGCAGCACUUGGUCAAAAUGCAGCCCGACCCGCUGGAUACACCACACUUUACGUUACGUUCAAGAUCGUCUCGCGCUUUGAUUUUUGCUCCAGAUGACAGCACCUGCAGUCUUUCCUCUCUGUCACCCUCAUCUGAUUUUCACUGCAUUUCUUUGCCACCAGAGGGAGAUAUGGAGGCAACGAGGAGCAGGAACUCUGGCUGAUGUACUUGCCCAUCCCUGGUUAAUGCCGAGUUAUUUAAGCACAUUGAAUUCUGCUUAUUAUCCGGCGAAGCAGAAACGCUUGUUGAACAUACAGGAAGGUACUUGUAAUCAAGUGCGUACUGUGUCAGCACUAUCUGAACACUAAAUAGACCCGGUCUUGACCCUGUUAUUAUUAAGGGACAUUAUAUCCCAUUCUAACAGCGCAAGUGAAAUAAUGAUUGCAUCUAGAUUUAAGAGCCGUUAGUGACUUUUGGUACCACACCAUUAUGCGGUCACUUAUGCUGUUUUUACACGCCAUUUAUUGGAAAUAAUUCCCUUUCAUCUUUUGCCAAAAAACCCAUUGAGAUUAAUUUCAAUUCAGUGGAUACUCCUCAAUGAAUGCAUCGGGGGAAUAAUGGAACGUCAUUUGUUGUUGAACAACGCACAUAACUGUGCAUUUACUGGCCCACACCAAGGGACUCUCGUUCCAAGGACGAUGUUACCUGGCAAUAAUAAAUGAAUAUUUUGUGAGGACUGGAGCCAGGUAAUAGUAGAGGAAGGGAAUGAGGAAAUGUAAAAUGUUUACAGCACAGUAAAAAGCCCUUCUUCUCA
Long non-coding RNA from Amblyraja radiata (thorny skate), 878 nucleotides. RefSeq lists it as uncharacterized. The transcript is spliced from 2 exons. Lineage: Eukaryota; Metazoa; Chordata; Chondrichthyes; Rajiformes; Rajidae. The record is from RefSeq and is a predicted model, not a curated record.